This 440-nucleotide ribosomal RNA is filed under the name uncultured bacterium. RNAcentral describes it as "partial 16S ribosomal RNA". It matches the Rfam family "Bacterial small subunit ribosomal RNA", at positions 338 to 795 of the family's 1533-position model. The record is from RNAcentral.
CCUACGGGAGGCAGCAGUGGGGGAUAUUGCACAAUGGGGGAAACCCUGAUGCAGCGACGCCGCGUGUGGGAAGGCGGUCCUCUGGGUUUUAAGCCACAGUCCCCAGGGACGAGGAUGACGGUACCUGGGGAGGAAGCUCCGGCUAACUACGUGCCAGCAGCCGCGGUAAUACGUAGGGGGCAAGCGUUGUCCGGAAUUACUGGGUGUAAAGGGGGCGUAGGCGGGACUGCAAGCUGGGUGUCAAAUCUACCGGCUCAACCGGUGGCCGCACUUUAAACUGCAGUGCUUGAGUGAAGGAGGGGCAGGCGGAAUUCCUAGUGUAGCGGUGAAAUGCGUAGAUAUCAGGAGGAACACCAGUGGCGAAGGCGGCCUGCUGGGCUGUGACUGACGUUGAGGCUCGAAAGUGUGGGGAGCAAACAGGAUUAGAUACCCGUGUAGUC